This 468-nucleotide ribosomal RNA is filed under the name uncultured bacterium. Its description in RNAcentral is "partial 16S ribosomal RNA". It matches the Rfam family "Bacterial small subunit ribosomal RNA", at positions 28 to 507 of the family's 1533-position model. The record is from RNAcentral.
GACGAACGCUGGCGGCGUGCUUAACACAUGCAAGUCGAACGGAAAGGCCCUGCUUUUGUGGGGUGCUCGAGUGGCGAACGGGUGAGUAACACGUGAGUAACCUGCCCUUGACUUUGGGAUAACUUCAGGAAACUGGGGCUAAUACCGGAUAGGAGCUCCUGCUGCAUGGUGGGGGUUGGAAAGUUUCGGCGGUUGGGGAUGGACUCGCGGCUCAUCAGCUUGUUGGUGGGGUAGUGGCUUACCAAGGCUUUGACGGGUAGCCGGCCUGAGAGGGUGACCGGCCACAAUGGGACUGAGAUACGGCCCAGACUCCUACGGGAGGCAGCAGUGGGGAAUAUUGCACAAUGGGCGGAAGCCUGAUGCAGCAACGCCGCGUGCGGGAUGACGGCCUUCGGGUUGUAAACCGCUUUCGCCUGUGACGAAGCGUGAGUGACGGUAAUGGGUAAAGAAGCACCGGCUAACUACGUG